This 3294-nucleotide long non-coding RNA is filed under the name Actinia tenebrosa (Australian red waratah sea anemone). RNAcentral's name for it is "uncharacterized LOC116301040, transcript variant X2". The record is from RNAcentral. Lineage: Eukaryota; Metazoa; Cnidaria; Anthozoa; Actiniaria; Actiniidae.
GGGUCGGGGGGGUCACGACCCCCCAUGUCAUUCCUGAGGUCAAAUGGGCCUUCUGUGGUAAAAAUGUGACUGGGAUUUCUUUGCCCACAAAAUUUAUCCCUGAGACCCCCCUUCAAAAAAAAACCUGGAUCCGCCCUUGCCUGCCGUUUGCAUAGACCUUUUCUGAGAUAGCAAACGCAGUGCAUUGUGGUCUAGCUUCGGUACAAAAAUCUUUUAUUCAUCAUGCCUUAUAUGGUGUUGUUUGUACUGAAACACUAGACAUUAUGCAUCAUGCAUCAUGUUUAUCGAACUCAGAAAAGUGUCAUUUUACUAUCACUAAAAUGUUUUGCGAAUUUUCUUUCUUGUUCAAAUUUGUAUUUCCUCAUGAGAAUAGAUGCUAAUUAACUGAACGAAAAAAGUGUGUAAGGGAGUCUGGUACUGGUAGUAAAUAGACCUAAUCGGCUAACGUGUUGCUAUGUACGUUACCACCCAAUUCAAACCUUCUGGGAAUAGAACCGUUUGUCUCUACGAAUUCAACUCUGAAACCAAAAUAUAACGAACAAUGAAACUUAUUCCCAGAAGGUUUGAAUCGGGUGGUAACGUACAUAGCAACACGUUAGCCGAUUAGGUCUAAGACGCUAUAAUGCAAGUGACGCAUUAGUGUGGGAAGAGACACUUGGAACUUAGAUGCAAUGUUUUCUUAAUUCAGACCAUGUGUCAUUUUCUUGAGGAUACGAUUCUUUGUUUGAGUUGUAUUCAUAUUCAUGAGUCUACUCAUGCACAUCUGUUGAAGAAAGAAACUACUCUAGGGAAUGACAUGGUCUGUAAUGAAAAACGAAUUAAAAUUUAAAAAAUGAAAAAUUUGAAAUGAAAGAAUAAUAAAAAAUAAAAAAAAUUCAAUGAAAUAACGCCAUAUUUUGUGAAAUAACUAGUGGCAACCCUUGGCCACCAUAGAAGAGCGAGACAACAAAUAGACAGUCAGCUAGGCAGAGAUAAAGUGACAAAGAGAAGCAUUAAGACUUGCCAUCCAUCAUAAUGAUUUAUUUUAUUGUAACUUUAUCAAUAAGUUAACAAAUAAAUAAGGCUUUCUCAAUUGAUUUGAGUCUUUGACCUAUGAAUAAAGAUUGACAGAAUUUUUUUUUUUGAAUCUUAAACAAAAUCUAUUUACAUUGGUUUCCACCCCCUAAAACAAUGUCUAUACUACAAUUGUAGGUAUAGUAAUAAUACUUAAUAGAUAAGUAAUCGUUAAAGAACUCUUGAGUUCCUAGUCACUCAAUGGACAUUUAUAGAACAAUGCUCUGUCAGCUAUUCUCUUUAAUUUACACACAACAGUAUUCUUAUGACACUAAAAACAGCUGUGCGGAGACUAUAUUCUCACUUUGGGACCUUCACGGCGGAUGUCACGACACUACCGGAAGUACAAUGUUUACCUAAUUAGCAUAUGACCUUGCACACGUCCAAAGGAACAAAGGUAGGUUUUACAGUCUCUCUAAGCUUGAAAUUAUUUUCUAGUUUAUGCACUUAAAAAUGCCUCUGUAUAACGACUGCUGGAUGUUACGUGUUCUUUGAUGUAUAAACUCAAUAUCUGAGUAAAUAUUUAGGCUUUUUGUUACUUUAAAACUAUAUUUUGGAAGGUUUUGAAAUUGGAGGACGACUACAGGCGCCGAACAAGACGAUUUGCAACGCUACUAAAAGAACACGGUUCGUUACAUCCUCCACUAGAGACCCUAGUGUUCUGCCUUACUAAGACAAACAAGUCAAUAUCAGGGAGCACUGUGAAAAUCCUAUCCUGCAACGAUAGAGUGCGCAAGGACACCCAGUACAGUAUGUAAUACUCCGACCAACAUAGCCAUGUGAAAAAGAUCCAUAUUCCAGGAAUGAUGCGAAAAGUUCCAGGCACCCGAAGAGUUGAUAUGAGAGAGACCUGCUUGGUAAAGACGGAUAUUAAGUAUAUUGAGUCGCACCUUGAAUCAAGUCAUCUGCCUCUUCGUCCUUGUCGUAUUUUCCAACUUCGUGAGAAAGUGCAACACCAGUAUCUACAUGAAGGACAGACUUUAAGGUUUCCUAUUUGUUGUUGAUCCAUGGCUUUAUCGUAGAUCUGCACGCACGCGAUCUUACCAGAAUACCUUCUAUCAUCGCCAUCUCGUGCGCCGAUUCUUAUUGGAUACUGAGUAGCAAGUCUGAUUUGUCCAAUGUUCCUACUCUUGACCAUCUUUCCGUUAUGCCAGAGUUUNGCAACACCGGUAGAGUUAUCGUAUGUGGCACCAACUUGGUUCCAUGUGUUUAGCUACAAAAAUUGGAAUGGAUGUCAGAUUAUUGAUCAUUAAUGAUAAAAAUGUUCAUUCUUCUCACUCACCUGGAUCAUUGUAUUGGUCUUCAGAGGAGUACCUCAAAGGAGGCAGCUCAUUGUGGUUCAAUGGCGGCAAAACGUUGGCACUCUCAGCACUCGGCGAGGACUGGUAGCUAUUCUUCAGCUGGUCAGCAGUUAUUUUGAACCUUGAUCCUUCAGUGUUGGCUGGCUUGGAGAAAAAGAAGUUCAUCUCUGGGCUGUUUUGCGCAUGCUCGAGAGGAGGCAGCAUAGGAGGUCGAUAGCUCUUAAUGCUUUCAUCUGAUUGGAUAAAAAUAGACAUAAUGGUUAUGAAUGUUGCGUGAUGUGACGAUCAGCUGAUGUUUGCUACACGUAAAGCGCUAUAGUCUAUGGUAUUCAUUGGUUCAUCAGCAACAGGUUAGUCAGACAUUGAUAUCAUAAGUAGCUGAAGUAUAUUUACAAAAACACAGAUGCACAUGAACCAGUCGAGACCAAAGAAGACGAUAAUGAGUACGCAAAGGCGCUUGGGAAAGCCCUGGAUCAACCUUGAUGAUGAUAAACCUAAUUUUGGAUCUUUAUUUCAUCUGUUGUAUUUAACCGCAGUAAAAUAUUCUUAUUACAAAAAAAAAUGGCUUAAAAUAUAUCAAGAUUGUACUUUUAAACAAAAUCUAUAGAAAAUCAAUAGUAAAAUUUGUAGAAUUUACAAAGAAAGCUGUUUCACGAACCGAAAAUAUUGUCUAUCCAUGAGUAGAUGAAGAUGUUAUCAUAGAAAAGGCUAGUAUCCCUUGGUCUCAUUCUAUCAAACUUUAUAUUCGCAAUAUGAACGAAGAAGAAAAUUAAUAUCAGCGAUUUUUAAAAAAAUAAGGAAAAUGAGAGGUCAAGUCUCGAUCUGCAAGAGAUACCAAAAAAGUUUUAUCAAGAAGGCUUAAGAAUAUGGACUAAGCAAAGCCACAAUACGAAACGAAUAAAAAAAAGGGGUAGAAAAACUUUAAAUUUUCAACCUUUUG